Molecule: ribosomal RNA, 440 nt
Filed under: uncultured bacterium
Lineage: Bacteria
Description: partial 16S ribosomal RNA
Rfam family: Bacterial small subunit ribosomal RNA
Source: RNAcentral
CUACGGGGGGCAGCAGUAGGGAAUAUUCCACAAUGGGGGCAACCCUGAUGGAGCAACGCCGCGUGCAGGAUGAAUGCCUUCGGGUUGUAAACUGCUUUUAUAAGUGAAGAAUAUGACUGUAACUUAUGAAUAAGGAUCGGCUAACUCCGUGCCAGCAGCCGCGGUCAUACGGAGGAUCCGAGCGUUAUCCGGAGUGACUGGGCGUAAAGAGUUGCGUAGGGGGUGUAUCAAGCAGUUAGUGAAAUCGUGUGGCUCAACCAUACGGCUAUUAGCUGAACUGAUAUACUUGAGAAUAUGAGAGGUAGAUGGAAUUCCCAGUGUAGGAGUGGAAUCCGUAGAUAUUGGGAGGAACACCAAUGGCGUAGGCAGUCUACUGGCAUAUUUCUGACCCUGAGGCACGAAAGCGUGGGGAGCGAACCGGAUUAGAUACCCGCGUAGUC